UACGUAGGGGCCUAGCGUUGUCCGGAUUUAUUGGGCGUAAAGAGCUCGUAGGCGGUUUGGUUAGUCAGGUGUGAAAUCUCCACGCUCAACGUGGAGGGGCCACCUGAUACUGCCAUGACUUGAGUCCGGUAGGGGAGUGUGGAAUUCCCGGUGUAGCGGUGAAAUGCGCAGAUAUCGGGAGGAACACCCGUAGCGAAGGCGGCACUCUGGGCCGAUAUUGACGCUGAGGAGCGAAAGCGUGGGGAGCGAACAGG
This 254-nucleotide ribosomal RNA is filed under the name uncultured bacterium. Its description in RNAcentral is "partial 16S ribosomal RNA". It matches the Rfam family "Bacterial small subunit ribosomal RNA", at positions 524 to 776 of the family's 1533-position model. The record is from RNAcentral.